Molecule: non-coding RNA, 28 nt
Filed under: Rattus norvegicus (Norway rat)
Lineage: Eukaryota; Metazoa; Chordata; Mammalia; Rodentia; Muridae
Source: RNAcentral
UGUGUCCCAUAAUUUUGAGUAUGUUUUA